GACGAACGCUGGCGGCGCGCCUAACACAUGCAAGUCGAACGAGCGAGAGAGAGCUUGCUUUCUCGAGCGAGUGGCGAACGGGUGAGUAACGCGUGAGGAACCUGCCUCAAAGAGGGGGACAACAGUUGGAAACGACUGCUAAUACCGCAUAAGCCCACGGCUCGGCAUCGAGCAGGGGGAAAAGGAGCAAUCCGCUUUGAGAUGGCCUCGCGUCCGAUUAGCUAGUUGGUGAGGUAACGGCCCACCAAGGCGACGAUCGGUAGCCGGACUGAGAGGUUGAACGGCCACAUUGGGACUGAGACACGGCCCAGACUCCUACGGGAGGCAGCAGUGGGGAAUAUUGCACAAUGGGGGAAACCCUGAUGCAGCGACGCCGCGUGGAGGAAGAAGGUCUUCGGAUUGUAAACUCCUGUUGUUGGGGAAGAUAAUGACGGUACCCGACAAGGAAGUGACGGCUAACUACGUG
RNAcentral lists this ribosomal RNA (466 nucleotides) under uncultured bacterium. RNAcentral's name for it is "partial 16S ribosomal RNA". It matches the Rfam family "Bacterial small subunit ribosomal RNA", at positions 28 to 507 of the family's 1533-position model. The record is from RNAcentral.